This 112-nucleotide ribosomal RNA is filed under the name Promirotermes redundans. The record is from RNAcentral. Lineage: Eukaryota; Metazoa; Arthropoda; Insecta; Blattodea; Termitidae.
AACGGCCAUACCACGCUGAAAACACCGGUUCUCGUCUGAUCACCGCAGUUAAGCAGCGUUGGGCGUGGUUAGUACUUGGAUGGGUGACCGCCUGGGAACACCACGUGUUGUU